CGAAACCGAAACCCCGGCGACAGAGCCGGAAGCGUUUUGCAGCCGCCCUUUAUCAGCGAAGCGUGUGCAACAGUUCCACUUCCGUAUUCCCCCCCACUCGCUCCGCGGGUGUCUUGUCAGCUGGGGGAUGCCUCCGCUGGUCGCCGAGUUCUUUGCACCGCUAGCACCGCCGCGUCGCCGAUAGCAGUGCGCCCCGCACCCCAAGAACACGUUUCCCCGGUGCGUGUGUCCAAUGCGUCUCGCCGAGAGCCCGCAAGCCGGCCAAGACUGUCGACCACGCCAGCGUCCCGCCGCUGCCCCGGCUGUUGUCGGGGCGACAACUCCGCGGCGUGCGGAGUCUUCCUUACUCGCCGACAGCACCGACAGAUGAGCGUCAUCGAGCCGAGAUCGUCGUCGCAGUGACCGCUGUCACCGUCGGAAGCAUGGCAACCGCUCUGGAGCGAAAUCUGGUGCUCGGGGGGACUCUGAAGCAGCGCUGCAGAGCGCUGCUUCCGACGAGAGGCAUCGCGUACUCGUCGAAAGGAGCCGCCGAGGCGAGCCCGCAACCCAGAGACAAAUCGCGGACCGUGCAGUCUUUCUACAACCAGUCCGCGAUCGACGUUGCUGCUGCCAAGCCCUCUGUUCGUCUGACACCCACCACCAUACUAUAUUCUGGCAAGUCACCUGAUGGCAGCCACCUUCUGCGCAGUGCCCAAUACUUGCACAAGGAGCUUCCCGUGCGCAUUGCACACCGCAUCGCCGGCUUCCGCAGCCUUCCCUUCAUCGUCGGGUGCAACCCCACCAUCCUGGCCGUGCAUGAGCUCUACACUCAAACGUUUUACCUCCUGACCGAUUUUCCUCCGGUGACGGACUUUGAGUCCGAGAGCCGCUACUCGGAGACGGUGCAGCAGGUCCUGGACGAUCACAAGGACGUGGUGACGCAGCUGGCGGCCGGCUUCAAGGAGUGCCGCAAGCACAUCAAGCAAGAAGAGCUGGUGAAGACGUUCCUGGACCGCACCUUGACGUCGCGGCUGGGGAUGCGGAUGCUGGCGGAGCACCACAUCGCGCUGCGCCAGGACAGGCCCAACCAUGUGGGGAUCAUCAACACGGCAAUGCGUCCCAAGGAAGUGAUCGAGAAAUGGGCAGACUUUGUCAAACAGGUGGCGGUGCACAAGUAUGGCAAGUCGCCUCCCAUCAAGUACAACGGCCACCUGACAUGCAGCUUCCCCUACAUCCAGUUGCCCCUGGACUACAUUAUUCCAGAGCUGCUCAAGAACGCAGUCAGGGCCACGGUGGAGAACCACCCGGACAACCCAGAGUCGAGCCUGCCCCCGGUGACGGUCACCAUAGCCAACAACGACGUGGACUUCAUCAUCAGGAUCUCCGACCGGGGCGGCGGCAUCGAGCACGAGCACCUGGGGCAGAUCAUGCAAUACCAUUUCUCGACGGCCAGCUCAUACGAGGGGCAGUACGACGGUGGCCUGCUGGGCACGAUGAUGACGCAGCCAAUGGACGGCCCCGCAGGGGGCCCCAUGCACGGGUUCGGCUUUGGACUGCCGACGUCGCGCGCCUACGCCGAGUACCUCGGCGGCACCCUCACCUUCGAGACGCUCCAGGGUAUCGGGACGGACGUGUACCUGAGGCUGCGCCACAUCGACGGCAAAUACGAGAGCUUCCGCAUCUGAGGCCCCACAGUCCUUGGGGGUGGCCGGCGCGGCCCCGUACCAGACGUCGUUGCCGUCGACUGCCACCUGUCGGCAUUUUUACAUCCGCUUUUUUCCUCUUUUUUGUUGUCUUGCGUGUGCGUGUUAAUGCCCGAGUCCCACUAGAGCGACAAACAAAAACAAUUGAAACUGAGAAGCCUUUAACACAUGCAGCAUGUUCGCAAUGGUACCUUUGGCUGGUUUUGAGUCGUUCGGUACUCGUGAAGUAAUCACGAGUGAUUGGGAGCCUGCCAAAGAUACCCUCAAGUUUGCGCAUAGCACCCUUUAUUUUAUCUAAGAGCUUGUCAAAUCGCGAAAGAAUCGGGUUUGAGGAUUGUCGCUGUCGGUUGUUUCUGUUUGUUGCUCUAGUGGGACUUGGGCAUUGGGAUGCAAGCUCCGACGAAGGUGUGCGAGGGUUGGAGGAGGGAAGUGGUUUAGGGGGCGGUACUUUCCUAGUCAUGUGGGGAAGUUGAGGCUCUUCUUUUGCGCCCGGUGAGCUUCGCUGUACACAAUACGCGGGCCGGCACAUCGGCGGUUUCGAGGCCACCUGUGGUUUUGGCUGUGUGCUUCUGAGACGUCGUCGUCUUCAUUUCUGAGGGUGGCGAGUCAGAUGUUGGAAAGUGCUCAAGUGCCUGUCUCAUUGCGACGCAAGGGAGGAGAGUUUUGAAUGAGUGGCUGGAGUUUGACUGGUUUAAUUGUGGAUGGCCGGAGCUGAACUGUACAUAAUGGGAGGUUUUUUUUUGUUUUUUUUUUGAGGGGCAGGGAGUGCUUGCACGUCCCGUACAGCCUUCUCGAGCGAUGGCGAAUUUUUUUUUUUAUUGUAAUUGACGUUUCCAUUGUCUGUGAGUGAGGAAUGGGUUCCUCUAGCCGGUGCAAAGGACGUGCUUUCUGUGCUGUUGCUGAAUAAAUGAGACAAUUGUAAAUCUCAGCCACAAGAACUUGCAUUUUCAGCUGUAUCUUUUCUGUCCUUUUUGCUUUUUGUCCCGUUUCCAAAACCAGUUGCUUCCGCUUUGGUUUCUUUGCUUUUAUUUUGUUUCCAGUCAGCCUAGGAGCUCGUUUAACGCAGGGUAAUAUAUAAUUAUUUUUGCUCGCUGUGAGUUGGAGGCGCAGUGGUAGCAGCUUUUUAUGCUUGUGAUAAUCACAUUAGUUUUUUUUUCUUUCUUUUUGCUAUUAAAUGGUACGCUUACUUGACCAGUCGGCAAAUAUUUCUGGCGGUGCAGCAUUAUCUCCUGGGGAAUCUCCAGUGCCCAAGGCACACUUCCAAAUAUGUCUGGAGGCGUUGUGUUUCACGGUUUGUUUUUUUGUCUCGGGUUGUCACAACAGCUUUUCUGACGAAUUCUUGACAGUAUAUACGGAUUUAUAACUGCAAUAAGCGGUGAUGUGGCCAGCAGGAUAAGCUGCCGACCCAAUUUAGAUGUAAUCAACUCUUAUUUUGUAUGCCUGCCUCGUUUGUACUGCAAUGACAAGACUCACUAUUACUACCAUAGUAAUUGCUUUGUUAAUUACACAAUUUUAUGACCAGGAAAGGGUAGAGUUUAUAAGAGUGCAAUGGUUGUGUCUGAUAGCCUUUGCAUCAGUAUCUGUCAGAUUGUUUUUUUCUUAAUUUUAGAAGUGAAAUGCAAUGCAACAUUAAUAAAAUUAUUGUUACUGGG
RNAcentral lists this unclassified non-coding RNA (3334 nucleotides) under Ixodes scapularis (black-legged tick). RNAcentral describes it as "3-methyl-2-oxobutanoate dehydrogenase [lipoamide] kinase, mitochondrial, transcript variant X1". The record is from RNAcentral. Lineage: Eukaryota; Metazoa; Arthropoda; Arachnida; Ixodida; Ixodidae.